This 502-nucleotide ribosomal RNA is filed under the name uncultured bacterium. Its description in RNAcentral is "partial 16S ribosomal RNA". It matches the Rfam family "Bacterial small subunit ribosomal RNA", at positions 28 to 507 of the family's 1533-position model. The record is from RNAcentral.
GACGAACGCUGGCGGCGUGCUUAACACAUGCAAGUCGAACGGUGAAGGGGUCUGCUUUUGUGGGCCCUGGAUGAGUGGCGAACGGGUGAGUAACACGUGAGUAACCUGCCCCCUUCUUCUGGAUAACCGCAUGAAAGUGUGGCUAAUACGGGAUAUUCUGGGUCUGUCGCAUGAUGGGUCUGGGAAAGAUUGCGCCUUUGGGUGUUUUUGGUGGGGGAUGGGCUCGCGGCCUAUCAGCUUGUUGGUGGGGUGAUGGCCUACCAAGGCGGUGACGGGUAGCCGGCCUGAGAGGGUGGACGGUCACACUGGGACUGAGACACGGCCCAGACUCCUACGGGAGGCAGCAGUGGGGAAUAUUGCACAAUGGGCGCAAGCCUGAUGCAGCGACGCCGCGUGAGGGAGGGAGGCCUUCGGGUUGUAAACCUCUUUCGCCAGUGAAGCAGGCCUGCUCCGUGUGGGUGGGUUGACGGUAGCUGGAUAAGAAGCGCCGGCUAACUACGUG